RNAcentral lists this ribosomal RNA (507 nucleotides) under uncultured bacterium. RNAcentral's name for it is "partial 16S ribosomal RNA". It matches the Rfam family "Bacterial small subunit ribosomal RNA", at positions 28 to 507 of the family's 1533-position model. The record is from RNAcentral.
GACGAACGCUGGCGGCGUGCCUAAUACAUGCAAGUCGAACGCAUUUUCUUUCACCGUAGCUUGCUACACCGAAAGAAAAUGAGUGGCGAACGGGUGAGUAACACGUGGGUAACCUGCCCAUCAGCGGGGGAUAACACUUGGAAACAGGUGCUAAUACCGCAUAAUUCCAUUUACCGCAUGGUAGAUGGAUGAAAGGCGCUUUUGCGUCACUGAUGGAUGGACCCGCGGUGCAUUAGCUAGUUGGUGGGGUACCGGCCUCCCAAGGCUGCGAUGCAUAGCCGACCUGAGAGGGUGAUCGGCCACACUGGGACUGAGACACGGCCCAGACUCCUACGGGAGGCAGCAGUAGGGAAUCUUCGGCAAUGGACGCAAUGCUGACCGAGCAACGCCGCGUGAGUGAAGAAGGUUUUCGGAUCGUAAAACUCUGUUGUUAGAGAAGAACAAGGAUGAGAGUGGAAAGUUCAUCCCUUGACGGUAUCUAACCAGAAAGCCACGGCUAACUACGUG